This 202-nucleotide long non-coding RNA is filed under the name Elaeis guineensis (African oil palm). RNAcentral's name for it is "long non-coding RNA (EGUI_LNC065246)". Lineage: Eukaryota; Viridiplantae; Streptophyta; Magnoliopsida; Arecales; Arecaceae. The record is from RNAcentral.
GGGUGAGAAUACACAGGAUGCGAUCUCCUCUUACUAGGAGUGAUCGAUUCUUUGUUGACCAACUCACAACCUUAAUACAUGCUUUACUAUAUCUAAAACAUUCCAUACAUAUCUUAAUAUCAUGCUUGGGUAUGAACCAUAAUAUGGGUUCAUGUGCACAAGAUUUCAUGAUGAUCUCAGGUCUAAAGAUCACUUGCACAAC